CAUGCUUUGCGUCGAACUUGUAAAAAUGGACGGGGAAUAAGAAACGUUCUCUGUCUCUGUGUCUCUGUCUCU
This is a non-coding RNA of Biomphalaria pfeifferi, 72 nucleotides long. The record is from the annotation of a GenBank genome assembly. Lineage: Eukaryota; Metazoa; Mollusca; Gastropoda; Planorbidae.